This 460-nucleotide ribosomal RNA is filed under the name uncultured bacterium. RNAcentral's name for it is "partial 16S ribosomal RNA". It matches the Rfam family "Bacterial small subunit ribosomal RNA", at positions 338 to 795 of the family's 1533-position model. The record is from RNAcentral.
CCUACGGGCGGCAGCAGUGAGGAAUAUUGGUCAAUGGGCGCUAGUCUGAACCAGCCAAGCAGCGUGAAGGAUGACUGCCCUAUGGGUUGUAAACUUCUUUUAUAUGGGAAUAAAGUGCAGUAUGUAUACUGCUUUGCAUGUACCUUAUGAAUAAGGAUCGGCUAACUCCGUGCCAGCAGCCGCGGUAAUACGGAGGAUCCGAGCGUUAUCCGGAUUUAUUGGGUUUAAAGGGAGCAUAGGCGGGUUGUUAAGUCAGUUGUGAAAGUUUGCGGCUCAACCUUAGAAUUGCAUUUGAUACUGGCAUCCUUGAGUACAGUAGAGGUAGGCGGAAUGCGUGGUGUAGCGGUGAAAUGCUUAGAGAUCACAAAGAACUCCGAUUGCGAAGGCAGCCUGCCGAACUGUAACUGACGCUGAUGCUCGAAAGUGUGGGUAUCAAACAGGAUUAGAUACCCGAGUAGUC